UACGUAGGGAGCAAGCGUUGUUCGGGUUUACUGGGCGUAAAGGGCGCGUAGGCGGCGCGGUAAGUCACUUGUGAAAUCUCUGAGCUUAACUCAGAACGGCCAAGUGAUACUGCAGUGCUAGAGUGCAGAAGGGGCAAUCGGAAUUCUUGGUGUAGCGGUGAAAUGCGUAGAUAUCAAGAGGAACACCUGAGGUGAAGACGGGUUGCUAGGCUGACACUGACGCUGAGGCGCGAAAGCUAGGGGAGCAAACGGG
This 253-nucleotide ribosomal RNA is filed under the name uncultured bacterium. RNAcentral's name for it is "partial 16S ribosomal RNA". It matches the Rfam family "Bacterial small subunit ribosomal RNA", at positions 524 to 776 of the family's 1533-position model. The record is from RNAcentral.